UUCUUUUCGGUGUUUGGCACUGGAAGGUUUGAGCUUCCCAGAGGAAAAUAAAUCCACUAGAAA
RNAcentral lists this transfer RNA (63 nucleotides) under Carychium tridentatum. Its description in RNAcentral is "tRNA-Gln". Lineage: Eukaryota; Metazoa; Mollusca; Gastropoda; Ellobiida; Ellobiidae. The record is from RNAcentral.